This 468-nucleotide ribosomal RNA is filed under the name uncultured bacterium. Its description in RNAcentral is "partial 16S ribosomal RNA". It matches the Rfam family "Bacterial small subunit ribosomal RNA", at positions 28 to 507 of the family's 1533-position model. The record is from RNAcentral.
GACGAACGCUGGCGGCGUGCUUAACACAUGCAAGUCGAACGGAAAGGCCCUGCUUGUGUGGGGUGCUGGAGUGGCGAACGGGUGAGUAACACGUGAGUAACCGGCCCUUGACUUUGGGAUAAGUUCAGGAAACUGGGGCUAAUACCGGAUAGGAGCUCCUGCUGCAUGGUGGGGGUUGGAAAGUUUCGGCGGUUGGGGAUGGACUCGCGGCUUAUCAGCUUGUUGGUGGGGUAGUGGCUUACCAAGGCUUUGACGGGUAGCCGGCCUGAGAGGGUGACCGGCCACAUUGGGACUGAGAUACGGCCCAGACUCCUACGGGAGGCAGCAGUGGGGAAUAUUGCACAAUGGGCGGAAGCCUGAUGCAGCAACGCCGCGUGCGGGAUGACGGCCUUCGGGUUGUAAACCGCUUUCGCCUGUGACGAAGCGUGAGUGACGGUAAUGGGUAAAGAAGCACCGGCUAACUACGUG